RNAcentral lists this ribosomal RNA (241 nucleotides) under uncultured bacterium. RNAcentral describes it as "partial 16S ribosomal RNA". It matches the Rfam family "Bacterial small subunit ribosomal RNA", at positions 8 to 230 of the family's 1533-position model. The record is from RNAcentral.
AGAGUUUGAUCAUGGCUCAGGAUGAACGCUGGCGGCGUGCUUAACACAUUCAAGUCGAACGGGAGUUCAAUUGGGAGCUUGCUCCCGGUCUGAACUUAGUGGCGGACGGGUGAGUAAUGCAUGAGCAACCUGCCUUCGAGGAGGGGGAUAACAUCGGGAAACCGGUCGCUAAUACCGCGAUAGAGCAUUUUGCAGGCAUCUGCGAGAUUGGGGAAAAGGAGCAAUCCGCCUGGAGAUGGGC